AGGACGAACGCUGGCGGCGUGCCUAACACAUGCAAGUCGAGCGAGGAGAUUCCUUCGGGAUGAUCCUAGCGGCGGACGGGUGAGUAACACGUGGGCAACCUGCCUCAUAGAGAGGAAUAGCCUUCCGAAAGGGAGAUUAAUACCUCAUAACAUUGCAGUUUCGCAUGGAACAGCAAUUAAAGGAGCAAUCCACUAUGAGAUGGGCCCGCGGCGCAUUAGCUAGUUGGUGAGGUAACGGCUCACCAAGGCGACGAUGCGUAGCCGACCUGAGAGGGUGAUCGGCCACAUUGGGACUGAGACACGGCCCAGACUCCUACGGGAGGCAGCAGUGGGGAAUAUUGCACAAUGGGGGAAACCCUGAUGCCAGCAACGCCGCGUGAGUGAUGACGGCCUUCGGGUUGUAAAGCUCUGUCUUCAGGGACGAUAAUGACGGUACCUGAGGAGGAAGCCACGGCUAACUACGUGCCAGCCGCGGC
This 476-nucleotide ribosomal RNA is filed under the name uncultured bacterium. Its description in RNAcentral is "bacterial SSU rRNA". It matches the Rfam family "Bacterial small subunit ribosomal RNA", at positions 26 to 518 of the family's 1533-position model. The record is from RNAcentral.